This 460-nucleotide ribosomal RNA is filed under the name uncultured bacterium. RNAcentral describes it as "partial 16S ribosomal RNA". It matches the Rfam family "Bacterial small subunit ribosomal RNA", at positions 338 to 795 of the family's 1533-position model. The record is from RNAcentral.
CCUACGGGCGGCAGCAGUGAGGAAUAUUGGUCAAUGGGCUUACGCCUGAACCAGCCAAGUCGCGUGAGGGAAGACUGCCCUAUGGGUUGUAAACCUCUUUUGUCAGGGAGCAAUUGGCGCUACGUGUAGCGUUAUCGAGAGUAUCUGAAGAUAAAGCAUCGGCUAAGUCCGUGCCAGCAGCCGCGGUAAUACGGAGGAUGCGAGCGUUAUCCGGAUUUAUUGGGUUUAAAGGGUGCGUAGGCGGAAUGUCAAGUCUGCGGUAAAAUUGCGGGGCUCAACCUACCUCCGCAAUUGAGACUGGCGUUCUUGAGUGGGCGAGAAGUAUGCGGAAUGCGUGGUGUAGCGGUGAAAUGCAUAGAUAUCACGCAGAACUCCGAUUGCGAAGGCAGCAUACCGGCGCGCAACUGACACUGAAGCACGAAAGCGUGGGUAUCGAACAGGAUUAGAUACCCCUGUAGUC